UCAUUACUGAUUUGCUUAAUUGCACCACAUGUGUUUUUUAUUGAACAAAUUUCUUUGGUGGCGGGAGCAAUCCUACCGCCAGAGGUUAUAACUAAACCAAACUUUUUAUUUACAGUCAAACUUGAUUAUUAUUACAAUAGUCAAAACUUUCAACAACGGAUCUCUUGGUUCUCGCAUCGAUGAAGAACGCAGCGAAAUGCGAUACGUAAUAUGAAUUGCAGAUAUUCGUGAAUCAUCGAAUCUUUGAACGCACAUGCGCCCUUUGGUAUUCCAAAGGGCAUGCCUGUUUGAGCGUCAUUUCUCCCUCAAACCCCCGGGUUUGGUGUUGAGCAAUACGCUAGGUUUGUUUGAAAGAAUUUAACGUGGAAACUUAUUUUAAGCACUUAGGUUUAUCCAAAAACGCUUAUUUUGCUAGUGGCCACCACAAUUUAUUUCAUAACUUUGACCUCAAAUCAGGUAGGACUACCCGCUGAACUUAAGCAUAUCA
Molecule: ribosomal RNA, 487 nt
Filed under: Candida tropicalis
Lineage: Eukaryota; Fungi; Ascomycota; Pichiomycetes; Serinales; Debaryomycetaceae
Description: eukaryotic LSU rRNA
Rfam family: 5.8S ribosomal RNA (bases 145-297)
Source: RNAcentral